Molecule: long non-coding RNA, 1208 nt
Organism: Carya illinoinensis
Lineage: Eukaryota; Viridiplantae; Streptophyta; Magnoliopsida; Fagales; Juglandaceae
Exons: 3
Source: RefSeq, a predicted model, not a curated record
UCCUACACCAUACCCACCUUUUACUCCAUACCCACCUUUUAAACCCAUUGAUCUCAUUUGCCUUUUGUUAUAAAUGAGUGGAUUAGCAGGAUAACAAUUUGCAUAUGGGGUGACUCAGAUUCACCAUUUUAAGACCUCUCUCUCUCUUCUUGGUGUGAGAUCAAGUCAUGAGAACUUGUACCUCCAAUCGGGCUAGCUAGUUGUGGCAGGAGAUCAGGAAGGUGUGUGUUGAGCAAGAUGGAGAAGCAGGGCACGUGCAUUACUAACUCAUGAGCGCACGCACCACUGAACAUACACAUGAUAUUUCUUGGCUGGAGUUAUAUAUAUACAUAUAUGAAUCUUUCCUUUAUUGAUUUAUUCACAGAUCAUGGUUUUCGAUCGUUCCUGUGAGUUAGUUCUUCAUGUGCCCGUCUUCCCCAUCAUGACCACAGCACCUUAUAUAUGUUUGUUGGCAUCAAGAGCCAGGAAUACUAUCCCAGAAAAGCAUCCUCCCUCGAAGAAUUGGUGGGAAACUCCGAUAUUUACAGAAGCUUCAAGUUUCGGGAAAUGCUGACUGUAUCUGAGCAAUCGAAAUCAAUGCAAUAUGAUUGACAGCAAAGUAACCUAAAGAAGGGAACAAGAUGAAGGGAGAGCAGACUGCAGCCGAUAAGGAUGCCUGAUAGCAAGUUUCAGCUAAUUUUGACGAGAGGUCCAAUUGAUUAUGGAAGGUAAAAGUGGUUCUGAUCUUCUCUUAAUUUUCAUUAUUUAUCACUUUUUUUCUUUUGCACUUAUUUUUCUUCAUCCUCCUUUUUUGGCCUACUAGAGAUUGUAGCUAGCGUUCUUUGGACUAUAAUGACGACUGUGAAUCAGCUAAGAGAUAUAUAUCUAGCAAAUAAAGGUACAUUUUUCCCGAGAAAAGUGAUUGGUGAUGGUCCUAUAUAGGCUAUUGGGCACCACCACCCAGGAGACAGUACAAAAAUUACUCUUUAUGUCUCUAUUGCAUCCUUUUCAGCUACAAUAAGUCUCCUUCUCAUGAUCCACGUUAGCGUGACACUGGAAAAAGUUACAUGCAUAGCAUCUACCUACCUCUAGCUCUAUCUGAUCUCUAACCCGCAUGUAAUUUUUCGUUUUGUUCCCAAUCAAAGAGUCUUUUUCUCUUUCUUUUUUCAACUCAAAGAUCGGAUCAGUUUGAAACUUAAUUUGAAGUUAGUUCACGUAUGCAGUUUUCA